RNAcentral lists this long non-coding RNA (885 nucleotides) under Chlorocebus sabaeus (green monkey). RNAcentral's name for it is "lncRNA (ENSCSAG00000027985.1)". The record is from RNAcentral. Lineage: Eukaryota; Metazoa; Chordata; Mammalia; Primates; Cercopithecidae.
GUUUAGCUUCCACUUACAAGUGAGAACAUGCAGUUCUUGGCUUUCAGUUUUUCUGAGCCAUUUCACUUAGGAUAAUGUUAGCAGUUCACUGGGGUAGCUGUUGCUGAAACAGGGUCCUGAAUGCUGGAGCCACAGGACCAACUGAUUUGGAUAAAAGAGGAGAGAGAAGCAGCAGAUCCUGAAGUAGCUGAGGGGCUGCAGGGAAAAACCCUGCGACACCAGGGGGCUGCCUGCCACUAAAGGGAGCCCUAUGGCAAAGAGGAAAACAGGGGGCCCUGGAUGUGAGGGCCAGGCCUGGCAGGACGCAGCGUGGGACGCAGAGGCAGACGGACAGAACGCGAGCAGCUUUAUGAAAGGCCGCCGUGUGCCGCACUUACUCUCCAGUGGGGCAGGAACCAGGCCUGGAGGCGACAGGGCCCGAAAUAACAGGCGAAACACAGCCAGGAACUGAGCUUAGCUACAGCAGGGGACAGACGUCCUCAGGACACUACUACCACUGCCAUCCCCACGAGGUCCCUGAGGCUCAGGACUGGACGCCAGAAGCGGCCUCGCAGAGGACAGGGGUCUCCAGCAUGCACUGGCUGGAAGCCCGGAUCCCCACCCACGGCUGCGGCCUGUUGCUCCUCACAUCAGCAUCUUAACUUUUUGAGUUUUGCACAUUUCACCUGCAUGGCAGCAGAGAAUUCCGGCAGAAUCAGGCCUCUGGAUGUUCCAGGGAUGUGUCCUGGUUCCCUGGCUGUUAUUACAAAGCAGCAGUUCAGAUCCAUGGAACUUCUCGACUGUUCUGCCUCUCGGUGACUUGAUCCAUCAACUGAAUAGUACAGCGUCUGAUCAGAUUUUAGAGAGGGUGUGUGAAGUCACUGCGAAGCUUGUGAAAAUGGAGAU